GAGUUUGAUCCUGGCUCAGGAUGAACGCUGGCGGCGUGCCUAACACAUGCAAGUUGAACGAAGCACUGCAGACGGAGAUUCGUCGAAGCCUGCUUUGACUUAGUAGCGGACGGGUGAGUAAUGCGUGAGCAACCUGCCUUUCAGAGGGGGACAACAGUUGGAAACGACUGCUAAUACCGCAUAAUGUACAUUGGGGCAUCCCUGAUGUACCAAAGGAGCAAUCCGCUGAAAGAUGGGCUCACGUCUGAUUAGCUAGUUGGUGAGGUAACGGCUCACCAAGGCUGCGAUCA
This 290-nucleotide ribosomal RNA is filed under the name uncultured bacterium. Its description in RNAcentral is "partial 16S ribosomal RNA". It matches the Rfam family "Bacterial small subunit ribosomal RNA", at positions 9 to 282 of the family's 1533-position model. The record is from RNAcentral.